GAUAUCACAACCAGCCCUUGAUUCAAUGAAAUCAGAGGUGCAUCACCAAAUCAUUGCACGUGGGAGGAGAACAGUUGUUCACAGCAUGAACAUACUGGGGCGGACACUCAUGGCGGCUCUUGGAAUGAAUGCAGCCAUAAGUGUGAGGGUGUCAAAUGAACUCGGAGCAGCUCAUCCAAGAACGGCAAAGUUCUCGCUCAUAGUGGCAGUGAUCUCCUCGUUCAUGGUUGGUCUGGUCUUGUCGG
Molecule: long non-coding RNA, 245 nt
Organism: Eucalyptus grandis
Lineage: Eukaryota; Viridiplantae; Streptophyta; Magnoliopsida; Myrtales; Myrtaceae
Exons: 3
Source: RefSeq, a predicted model, not a curated record